CAUUUGAAAUCUGGCACCUUCGGUGUCCGAGUUGUAAUUUGAAGAAGGUAACUUUGGAGUUGGCUCUUGUCUAUGUUCCUUGGAACAGGACGUCACAGAGGGUGAGAAUCCCGUGCGAUGAGAUGCCCAAUUCUAUGUAAAGUGCUUUCGAAGAGUCGAGUUGUUUGGGAAUGCAGCUCUAAGUGGGUGGUAAAUUCCAUCUAAAGCUAAAUAUUGGCGAGAGACCGAUAGCGAACAAGUACAGUGAUGGAAAGAUGAAAAGAACUUUGAAAAGAGAGUGAAAAAGUACGUGAAAUUGUUGAAAGGGAAGGGCUUGAGAUCAGACUUGGUAUUUUGCAAGCCUUACCUUCGUGGUGGGGUCCCCUGCAGUUUACUGGGCCAGCAUCGGUUUGGAUGGUAGGAUAAUGACUUGGGAAUGUGACUUUGCUUCGGUAAAGUGUUAUAGCCCUUGUUGAUACUGCCUGUCUAGACCGAGGACUGCGUCUUUGACUAGGAUGCUGGCAUAAUGAUCUUAAGUCGC
This 520-nucleotide ribosomal RNA is filed under the name Schwanniomyces polymorphus var. polymorphus. RNAcentral describes it as "eukaryotic LSU rRNA". It matches the Rfam family "Eukaryotic large subunit ribosomal RNA", at positions 112 to 648 of the family's 3401-position model. The record is from RNAcentral. Lineage: Eukaryota; Fungi; Ascomycota; Pichiomycetes; Serinales; Debaryomycetaceae.